RNAcentral lists this ribosomal RNA (301 nucleotides) under uncultured bacterium. Its description in RNAcentral is "partial 16S ribosomal RNA". It matches the Rfam family "Bacterial small subunit ribosomal RNA", at positions 509 to 807 of the family's 1533-position model. The record is from RNAcentral.
CAGCCGCCGCGGUAAUACAGAGGGUGCGAGCGUUAAUCGGAUUUACUGGGCGUAAAGCGUGCGUAGGCGGCUUUUUAAGUCGGAUGUGAAAUCCCUGAGCUUAACUUAGGAAUUGCAUUCGAUACUGGGAAGCUAGAGUAUGGGAGAGGAUGGUAGAAUUCCGGGUGUAGCGGUGAAAUGCGUAGAGAUCUGGAGGAAUACCGAUGGCGAAGGCAGCCAUCUGGCCUAAUACUGACGCUGAGGUACGAAAGCAUGGGGAGCAAACAGGAUUAGAUACCCCUGUAGUCCCUGUCUCUUAUAC